This 370-nucleotide ribosomal RNA is filed under the name uncultured bacterium. Its description in RNAcentral is "partial 16S ribosomal RNA". It matches the Rfam family "Bacterial small subunit ribosomal RNA", at positions 338 to 701 of the family's 1533-position model. The record is from RNAcentral.
CCUACGGGUGGCAGCAGUAGGGAAUUUUCGUCAAUGGGCGCAAGCCUGAACGAGCAAUGCCGCGUGAACGAGGAAGGUCUUCGGAUCGUAAAGUUCUGUUUAAGGGGAAAAAGAGCGGAGAGAGGAUAUGCUUUCUGAUUGAUAUUACCCUUCGAGGACGUCUCGGUUAACUACGUGCCAGCAGCCGCGGUAAUACGUAGGGGGCGAGCGUUAUCCGGAUUGAUUGGGCGUAAAGGGUGCGUAGGCGGCCUGCUAAGUCUGGAGUGAAAGGUACCGGCCCAACCGGUACAGGCUCGGGAAACUGGCGGGCUAGAGGGCAGAAGAGAGCAGUGGGACUCCAUGUGUAGCGGUAAAAUGCGUAGAUAUAUGG